This 1201-nucleotide ribosomal RNA is filed under the name metagenome. RNAcentral describes it as "bacterial SSU rRNA". It matches the Rfam family "Bacterial small subunit ribosomal RNA", at positions 211 to 1441 of the family's 1533-position model. The record is from RNAcentral.
CGGAUCGCUUCGAGAGGGGCCUGCGUCCCAUCAGCUAGUUGGUAGGGUAAUGGCCUACCAAGGCGACGACGGGUAGGGGACCUGAGAGGGUGAUCCCCCACAAUGGAACUGAAACACGGUCCAUACAUCUACGGAUGGCAGCAGUAGGGAAUAUUGCACAAUGGGCGAAAGCCUGAUGCAGCAACGCCGCGUGUGCGAUGAAGGCCUUCGGGUUGUAAAGCACUUUUCUGAGGGAAGAGGAAGGACGGUACCUCAGGAAUAAGUCUCGGCUAACUACGUGCCAGCAGCCGCGGUAACACGUAGGAGGCAAGCGUUAUCCGGAUUUACUGGGCGUAAAGCGCGUGCAGGCGGUUUGGUAAGUUGGAUGUGAAAGCUCCCGGCUCAACUGGGAGAGGCCGUUCAAUACUGCCAGACUAGAGGACGGUAGAGGAAGGUAGAAUUCCUGGUGUAGUGGUGAAAUGCGUAGAUAUCAGGAGGAAUACCAGAGGCGAAGGCGGCCUUCUGGGCCGUUCCUGACGCUAAGACGCGAAAGCAUGGGUAGCGAACGGGAUUAGAAACCCCGGUAGUCCAUGCUGAAAACGAUGCAAACUUGGUGUUGGUGGUGUAAAAGCCAUCAGUGCCGUAGCUAACGCGAUAAGUUUGCCGCCUGGGGAUUACGGCCGCAAGGUUAAAACUCAAAGGAAUUGACGGGUUCCCGCACAAGCAGCGGAGCGUGUGGUUUAAUUCGAUACUACGCGAAGAACCUUACCUGGGCUUGACAUAUAGGUGGUAGGGAGCCGAAAGGUGACCGACCCUUCGGGGAGCCUAUACAGGUGCUGCAUGGCUGUCGUCAGCUCGUGUCGUGAGAUGUCCGGUUAAGUCCGGUAACGAGCGCAACCCUUGCCGUAUGUUAUACGUGUCAUACGGGACUGCCGAUAUAAAAUCGGGGGAAGGCGGGGAUGGCGUCAAGUCUGCAUGGCCUUUAUGUCCAGGGCUACACACACGCUACAAUGGCCAGUACAAUGGGUCGCAAAGCCGCGAGGCGGAGCCAAUCCUCAAAGCUGGUCUCAGUUCGGAUCGCAGGCUGCAACUCGCCUGCAUGAAGCCGGAGUUGCUAGUAAACGCGCGUCAGCAACAGUGCGUUGAAUACGUUCCCGGGAAUUGUACACACCGCCCGUCACGUCAUGGAAGCUGGUAACACCUGAAGUCGGUAUCCUAACCC